AAUUAUGUAAAUAUAUUUAUCAGAAUAAGGGAUAGAGUAUGGGGCGGCGGGUGAGGUGCAGAAGAAGAAUAAGAAGAAGUUGUACCUAUCCAGUAAUUUUAUCUUGAUUUGUGGACUAGACGAAGACUAGAUUUUGAUGAAGAAAUCGACAAACUUGAACUGCAGGACUCGUGGCGCUGCUCGCCUCCUCGCCAAUGCGAACGCGUUCUCUGAGGACAACCCGCCCAAGGCUACCAUGGCGAAGCCAC
Amphibalanus amphitrite is the source of this 248-nucleotide long non-coding RNA. RefSeq lists it as uncharacterized. The transcript is spliced from 2 exons. NCBI's taxonomy places the organism in Eukaryota, Metazoa, Arthropoda, Thecostraca, Balanomorpha, Balanidae. The record is from RefSeq and is a predicted model, not a curated record.